Long non-coding RNA from Cydia fagiglandana, 152 nucleotides. RefSeq lists it as uncharacterized. NCBI's taxonomy places the organism in Eukaryota, Metazoa, Arthropoda, Insecta, Lepidoptera, Tortricidae. The transcript is spliced from 2 exons. The record is from RefSeq and is a predicted model, not a curated record.
UCAAGAAUCACUCUAUUCAUAGGUGAAAACCACAUGAAAAUCCGUACAGUAGUUUUUGAUUUUGGAGUAGUUUUAUAAGAUGCAGUGAAUUGACGUUUUCCCCUAGAUUUGCGGAUGCUAGGUUGCGUGACAGUCGUGCAUGUGGCGAAUAC